CUGCGGUGAAUACGUUCCCGGGCCUUGUACACACCGCCCGUCACGUCAUGGAAGUUUGAAACACUUGAAGUCGCUGGGCUUACCUUUUAGGAGGCAGGCGCCGAGAGUGGGGCAAAUGACUGGGACGAAGUCGUAACAAGGUAGCUGUACCGGAAGGUGCGGCUGGAUCACCUCCUUUCAAGGGA
RNAcentral lists this ribosomal RNA (185 nucleotides) under SAR202 cluster bacterium. RNAcentral describes it as "partial 16S ribosomal RNA". It matches the Rfam family "Bacterial small subunit ribosomal RNA", at positions 1357 to 1533 of the family's 1533-position model. Lineage: Bacteria; Bacillati; Chloroflexota; Dehalococcoidia. The record is from RNAcentral.